AGAGUUUGAUCAUGGCUCAGGAUGAACGCUAGCUACAGGCUUAACACAUGCAAGUCGAGGGGAAACGACAUCGAAAGCUUGCUUUUGAUGGGCGUCGACCGGCGCACGGGUGAGUAACGCGUAUCCAACCUGCCCACCACUUGGGGAUAACCUUGCGAAAGUAAGACUAAUACCCAAUGAUAUCUCUAGAAGACAUCUGAAAGAGAUUAAAGAUUUAUCGGUGAUGGAUGGGGAUGGCGUCUGAUUAGCUUGUUGGCGGGGUAACGGGCCCACCCAAGGCAACGAUCAGUAGGGGUUCGUGAGAGGAAGGUCCCCCACCAUUGGAACUGAGACACGGUCCAAACUCCUACGGGAGGCAGCA
Molecule: ribosomal RNA, 361 nt
Filed under: uncultured bacterium
Lineage: Bacteria
Description: bacterial SSU rRNA
Rfam family: Bacterial small subunit ribosomal RNA
Source: RNAcentral